UCUUAGUUGCCAGCGAGUAAUGUCGGGGACUCUAAGGAGACUGCCGGUGCAAACCGUGAGGAAGGUGGGGAUGACGUCAGGUCAGCACGGCCCUUACGUCCAGGGCUACACACGUGCUACAAUGGCGAUUACAAUGGGCAGCGAAAGGGCGACCUGGAGCGAAUCCCCAAAAAUCGUCUCAGUUCGGAUUGCACUCUGCAACUCGAGUGCAUGAAGGCGGAAUCGCUAGUAAUCGCGGAUCAGC
Molecule: ribosomal RNA, 244 nt
Filed under: Schmidingerella taraikaensis
Lineage: Eukaryota; Ciliophora; Spirotrichea; Tintinnida; Rhabdonellidae
Description: partial Bacterial small subunit ribosomal RNA
Rfam family: Bacterial small subunit ribosomal RNA
Source: RNAcentral